This is a long non-coding RNA of Betta splendens (Siamese fighting fish), 1188 nucleotides long. Lineage: Eukaryota; Metazoa; Chordata; Actinopteri; Anabantiformes; Osphronemidae. The record is from Ensembl.
AUGAGUCACAUCAACUAUCAUGUUCCAAGAAGUACAGGUAGAGGUGGAGGAGUAGCAGCAAUUUAUAACUCAGAUUUAUUAAUUACUCCUAAACCUAAACAUAGUUAUAACUCAUUUGAGAGCCUCACUCUGAGCCUUUCUCACCCAGACUCUAAAACUCAGAAACCAGUUGUGUUUUGUAUUGUUUACCGUCCUCCUGCUCCAUAUUCAGAGUUCUUAACUGAAUUCUCUGAAUUCUUAUCUGACUUAGUUCUUAGCACAGAUAAAGUCAUUGUAGUGGGAGACUUUAACAUUCAUGUAGAUGUUGACAGCAACUGUCUCAGCACUGCUUUUAACUCCUUAAUAGACACUAUUGGUUUUACACAGCAGGUAAAUGAACCCACUCAUCGUUUUAACCACACCCUAGAUCUUGUCCUGACAUAUGGGGUUGAAAUUGAUAAUUUAAUAGUUCUUCCCCAAAACCCUCUGUUAUCUGACCAUUUCUUAUUAACUUUUGAAUUUAGCACAACUGACCCUAUAACAGCUGGAAAGAAAUGUUACUAUAGCAGAUGUUUAUCUGACAAUGCUGUUGCCAGAUUCAAGCAGAUGAUUCCAUCAUCUUUUGCCUCAAUGUCUUGCAGAUACACAGAGAACAGUCACCUUAAUCCUUAUGAACAGGUUGACUGUCUUGUAGAUGAUGCUGCAGCUUCUCUACGUACAAUGUUAGACACAGUGGCUCCUCUGAAGAAGAAGACAGUGAAUCAGAGGAGGUUAGCUCCGUGGUAUAACUCAGACAUCCGCAGCCUAAAGCAAAGGACUAGACAACUAGAAAGACAGUGGCGUUCCAACAAAAUAAAUGUAAACUGCAUUGCAUGGAAGGACAGUCUAAUGAAAUAUAAAAAAGCACUUUGUGCUGCUAGAAAAACAUAUUAUUCCUCCCUAAUUGAGGAAAACAAAAACAACCCCAGGUUUCUUUUCAGCACUGUAGCCAGGAUGACAAAGAGUCAUAGCUGUAUUGAGUCUACUAUCCCCUUAAAUCUCAGCAGCAAUGACUUUAUGAACUACUUUACUAAUAAAAUUAUCAUCAUUAGAAAAAACAUUCAGCAGCGACCUCUUCCAGAUCCAUCAACUUUAAAAUUUAUUAAAUCCUCUGUCUUACCUAGACAGCUUCUCCCCCAUAACUCAUAUGGAGUUAACCUCAAUAAUUAA